CAGCAGCCGCGGGAAUACGAAGGGUGCAAGCGUUAAUCGGAAUUACUGGGCGUAAAGCGUGCGUAGGCGGUGAGUUAAGUCUGCUGUGAAAUCCCCGGGCUCAACCUGGGAAUGGCAGUGGAUACUGGCUCGCUAGAGUGUGUCAGAGGAUGGUGGAAUUCCCGGUGUAGCGGUGAAAUGCGUAGAGAUCGGGAGGAACAUCAGUGACGAAGGCGGCCAUCUGGGACAACACUGACGCUGAGGCACGAAAGCGUGGGGAGCAAACAGGAUUAGAUACCCCGGUAGUCCCUGUCUCUUAUAC
RNAcentral lists this ribosomal RNA (301 nucleotides) under uncultured bacterium. Its description in RNAcentral is "partial 16S ribosomal RNA". It matches the Rfam family "Bacterial small subunit ribosomal RNA", at positions 509 to 807 of the family's 1533-position model. The record is from RNAcentral.